AAAACUUAAAGCUAGCCUCAUCUAAUUACUAUACAAAUCAUGCCAGCGUGGAAUGGUGCCAAGUAUACUGGCUGCAUUUCCGCGCUGGACAGCCAGGUUGAUCCGUUGUGCCAAAAAUGACCCAGCCCUUUUGUCACUAGAUGAGGCUAUCAAUCGCGAUAUUAUAAUUUUUGUUAA
This is a long non-coding RNA of Maniola jurtina (meadow brown), 177 nucleotides long. RefSeq lists it as uncharacterized. The transcript has 3 exons. The record is from RefSeq and is a predicted model, not a curated record. Lineage: Eukaryota; Metazoa; Arthropoda; Insecta; Lepidoptera; Nymphalidae.